UGAGUACGAGACGCUAAGGCGUCGAAGUAGUGUAUGUCAUACUUCCAAGAAAAGCUUGCACUGUCAUUCAUAAAAAAUGCCUGUACCAUAACCGACACAGGUGGGUAGGUAGAGUAUACUAAGGGCGCGAGAUAACUCUCUCUAAGGAACUCGGCAAAAUAACUCCGUAACUUCGGGAGAAGGAGUGCCUUAUUUAUAUAAGGUUGCAAUAACAAGAUCCAAGCAACUGUUUACCAAAAACACAGGUCUCCGCUAAGUCGUAAGACGAUGUAUGGGGGCUGACGCCUGCCCAGUGCCAGAAGGUUAAAGAAGUUGGUUAGCAAUAGCGAAGCUGAUAACUGAAGCCCUGGUGAACGGCGGCCGUAACGAUAACGGUCCUAAGGUAGCGAAAUUCCUUGUCGGGUAAGUUCCGACCCGCACGAAAGGCGUAAUGAUUUGGAUACUGUCUCGGAGAGGGACUCGGUGAAAUAGACUUGUCUGUGAAGAUGCGGACUACCUGCACCUGGACAGAAAGACCCUAUGAAGCUUUACUGUAACUUGAAAUUGAAAUUGGACUUUAUUCGCGCAGUAUAGGUGGGAGGCGUUGAAAAUAAUCUUGCGGGACUAUUGGAGCCAUCAGUGAGAUACCACUCUUAUAAUGUUAGAUUUCUAACUUUGAAUCAUUAUCUGGUCAAAGAACAGUUUCAGGCGGGCAGUUUGACUGGGGCGGUCGCCUCCCAAACGGUAACGGAGGCGUACAAAGGUUUCCUCUGAACGGGUAGAAAUCGUAUCUAGAGUAUAAAGGCAAAAGGAAGCUUGACUGUGAGACCUACAAGUCGAGCAGGGACGAAAGUCGGUCUUAGUGAUCUGACGGUACUGAGUGGAAAGGCCGUCACUCAACGGAUAAAAGUUACUCUAAGGAUAACAGGCUGAUCUCCCCCAAGAGUUCACAUCGACGGGGAGGUUUGGUACCUCGAUGUCGGCUCAUCGCAUCCUGGGGCGGUAGUACGUCCCAAGGGUUGGGCUGUUCGCCCAUGAAAGCGGUACGCGAGCUGGGUUCAGAACGUCGUGAGACAGUUCGGUCCAUAUCCGGUGUAGGCGUUAGAAUAUUGAGAGGAGCCUUCUUUAGUACGAGAGGACCGAGAAGGACAUACCUCUGGUGUACCAGUUAUCGUGCCAACGGUAAACGCUGGGUAGCUAUGUAUGGAGUGGAUAACCGCUGAAAGCAUCUAAGUGGGAAGCCCACCUCAA
RNAcentral lists this ribosomal RNA (1230 nucleotides) under metagenome. Its description in RNAcentral is "bacterial LSU rRNA". It matches the Rfam family "Bacterial large subunit ribosomal RNA", at positions 1564 to 2802 of the family's 2925-position model. The record is from RNAcentral.